Molecule: non-coding RNA, 148 nt
Filed under: Solitalea canadensis
Lineage: Bacteria; Pseudomonadati; Bacteroidota; Sphingobacteriia; Sphingobacteriales; Sphingobacteriaceae
Also listed under: 1 other name
Source: RNAcentral
UUUAUCUUGUUAUAAUGUGGUUCUGGUAUUGUUAUGCCAGAUUAAAAAGGAACCGUGUGCAAAUCACGGGCUGUCGCGCAACUGUAAUUUAUAUUGAUUUCGAUCAAUUAUAAUAAGUCAGGAUACUUGCCUCAUUAUUCGGAUCAAU